Molecule: non-coding RNA, 29 nt
Filed under: Homo sapiens (human)
Lineage: Eukaryota; Metazoa; Chordata; Mammalia; Primates; Hominidae
Source: RNAcentral
UGAAACAUUCCUUGGGAACUCGGGCCGUG